AAUUUCUGUAUCACUGCAUAACCCAUUCCGAGUACCUUGCCUGUUGCUUCCCUUGGGCCUGACCUUGGUCACUCUUGAGAUGUGAAUCCCACGAGAGUUCCCAUGGGAGGUAAUCAUUAAAUUCAUGUAUCCAAUGUCUUCUGUCUGAACUGUUUAUAACGAAUGUUAAAACUUUCAACAACGGAUCUCUUGGUUCUCGCAUCGAUGAAGAACGCAGCGAAAUGCGAUAAGUAGUGUGAAUUGCAGAAUUCAGUGAAUCAUCGAAUCUUUGAACGCACAUUGCGCCUCCUGGUAUUCCGGGAGGCAUGCCUGUUCGAGCGUCAUUAAAUACCUCUCAAGCAGAUUUGCUUGGUCUUGGAAGAUGAGUUUGCUUGCAUUCUCCCUUCUGAAAUUCAAAGGCGGAUGAUGUCAUAUCCCCAGGCGUAGUAAGAUUAUCUUUUCGCAUGGUGUGUGAGAUAGUCCAGCCGUCAACCCCCAAUUUUUUCAAGGUUGACCUCGGAUCAGGUAGGGAUACCCGCUGAACUUAAGCAUAUCAAUAAGCGGAGGAAAAGAAACCAACAGGGAUUGCCUUAGUAACUGCGAGUGAAGCGGCAAAAGCUCAAAUUUGAAAUCUGGCGUCUUUGGCGUCCGAAUUGUAAUUUGGAGAGGCAACUUCGGAGAUGGUGCCGUCCUAAGUCCCUUGGAACAGGAUGACAUAGAGGGUGAGAUCCCCGUGCCUGGAUGGCUGUCCAUCUCCAUGUGAAUUGCCUUCGAAGAGUCCAGUUGUUUGGGAAUGCAGCUCAAAAUGGGUGGGUAAUUUCAUCUAAAGCUAAAUAUUGG
RNAcentral lists this ribosomal RNA (819 nucleotides) under uncultured Wilcoxina. Its description in RNAcentral is "eukaryotic LSU rRNA". The stretch from base 491 to 819 matches the Rfam family "Eukaryotic large subunit ribosomal RNA", at positions 1 to 326 of the family's 3401-position model. Lineage: Eukaryota; Fungi; Ascomycota; Pezizomycetes; Pezizales; Pyronemataceae. The record is from RNAcentral.